GAUGAACGCUGGCGGCGUGCCUAAUACAUGCAAGUCGAGCGAACGGACGAGAAGCUUGCUUUUCUGAUGUUAGCGGCGGACGGGUGAGUAACACGUGGAUAACCUACCUAUAAGACUGGGAUAACUUCGGGAAACCGGAGCUAAUACCGGAUAAUAUUUUGAACCGCAUGGUUCAAAAGUGAGAGACGGUCUUGCUGUCACUUAUAGAUGGAUCCGCGCUGCAUUAGCUAGUUGGUAAGGUAACGGCUUACCAAGGCAACGAUGCAUAGCCGACCUGAGAGGGUGAUCGGCCACACUGGAACUGAGACACGGUCCAGACUCCUACGGGAGGCAGCAGUAGGGAAUCUUCCGCAAUGGGCGAAAGCCUGACGGAGCAACGCCGCGUGAGUGAUGAAGGUCUUCGGAUCGUAAAACUCUGUUAUUAGGGAAGAACAUAUGUGUAAGUAACUGAGCACAUCUUGACGGUACCUAAUCAGAAAGCCACGGCUAACUACGUG
Molecule: ribosomal RNA, 497 nt
Filed under: uncultured bacterium
Lineage: Bacteria
Description: partial 16S ribosomal RNA
Rfam family: Bacterial small subunit ribosomal RNA
Source: RNAcentral